CGGGAAACUGGGGAUAAUACCGGAUGAUCCCCGCGAGGGGGAAAGAUUCAUCGCCGGAGGAGGGUCCCGCGUCCGAUUAGCUAGUUGGUGUGGUAACGGCGCACCAAGGCGACGAUCGGUAGCCGGUCUGAGAGGACGAUCGGCCACACUGGGACUGAGACACGGCCCAGACUCCUACGGGAGGCAGCAGUGGGGAAUAUUGGACAAUGGGCGCAAGCCUGAUCCAGCCAUGCCGCGUGAGUGAUGAAGGCCUUCGGGUUGUAAAGCUCUUUUGGCGGGGACGAUGAUGACGGUACCCGCAGAAUAAGCCCCGGCAAACUUCGUGCCAGCCGCCGCGGUAACA
RNAcentral lists this ribosomal RNA (343 nucleotides) under uncultured bacterium. RNAcentral's name for it is "partial 16S ribosomal RNA". It matches the Rfam family "Bacterial small subunit ribosomal RNA", at positions 150 to 525 of the family's 1533-position model. The record is from RNAcentral.